GAGGUGCCAUAAAUACUUUAGAUUUAUCUCAUUUUUGGAUCUAUUAGAUCCUAUGGUAUUCACUGUUUGCUCAGAUAUAUUCACAGAUACAUCUAUAUGUAUGUGAUAGAGACUAUGAAUCAUAAAACCAUUUUGAAUCAAUUUAAUUUUUAAAUAAAUAAAAAUCUUUCUGUGCUAAAUAAAAUACAGAAAUCAAAUUUCUGCUAGCAAUAGGUAACAGUCCCUAAGUAUCCUGAGCAUAUCUGACAUACCUUCUGAAGGUCUGUCACCCUUUAUGUUCUUUAUGCUUUUCCAUGUAUGUAGGACAGUUCCUCUUCCAAUGGUCGUCCAUGAUGCAAUGAAAACAUUUUUUCUUGCAAUUGGCCUUUUUCUUGGAACUUCCUUACUUGGUGUUUUCUUAGUCUUCUGCUUCUUCGCAGGCUUCUUCUUCUUCCAAAUAGACUCUCUUUUGGAACCAGAAGUUAACUCAGCAGCAAGGACAUUGCCCC
RNAcentral lists this long non-coding RNA (488 nucleotides) under Phoenix dactylifera (date palm). RNAcentral describes it as "long non-coding RNA (PDAC_LNC019435)". Lineage: Eukaryota; Viridiplantae; Streptophyta; Magnoliopsida; Arecales; Arecaceae. The record is from RNAcentral.